Molecule: long non-coding RNA, 502 nt
Organism: Chelonia mydas (Green sea turtle)
Lineage: Eukaryota; Metazoa; Chordata; Testudines; Cheloniidae
Exons: 3
Source: RefSeq, a predicted model, not a curated record
AAGGCAGCGGUGAACCAGGUCCGCUACUGUUAAAAAUUAUGAGCUAGUUUCAGCUUUCACAAAAAGAAAAGGAGUACUUAUGGCACCUUUCAGUUAUACCAGUUUAAACUGGGAACAAAUCUGUUGACUACAAUGGAGGCACUCCCAAGUAACGGAGCUUUUCUUGUGCAAGGACUGUAAGGCACGAACCCCGAUUGUCCUGGGGAUGGACCCAGACUGUCCCACAGAACGAACCCUGACCACAACGAGGAUGAUUCUGGAAUCCUGGACGGAGCCAAUGAAGACUGGAGAUGCCGGAACACUGGAACACACUGGAAUGCUGGAACAGGACGCAAUGAUCACCAGGAGGAGAAGAACCUGAUCCUGAAAACUCUUUUUUUGUAUGGAUUCCAAUGGGAAUUGUGGGCCUGGGUAGCUUGCAGGAUCAGGCCCUUAAUUACUUAAGGGAUCUGAUUUCAGAUGGCAGUAUGCUGUCUUUUCAGAAUAUACAAAUUACAUUAAA